This 478-nucleotide ribosomal RNA is filed under the name uncultured bacterium. Its description in RNAcentral is "partial 16S ribosomal RNA". It matches the Rfam family "Bacterial small subunit ribosomal RNA", at positions 28 to 507 of the family's 1533-position model. The record is from RNAcentral.
GAUGAACGCUGGCGGCGUGCUUAACACAUGCAAGUCGAACGAGAAGUGGAGACGGAAACCUUCGGGCGGAAGACUUUAUUUCGAGUGGCGGACGGGUGAGUAACGCGUGGGUAACCUGCCUCAUACAGGGGGAUAACAGUUGGAAACGACUGUUAAUACCGCAUAAGACCACAGCACCGCAUGGUGCGGGGGUAAAAACUCCGGUGGUAUGAGAUGGACCCGCGUUCGAUUAGCCAGUUGACGGGGUAACGGCCCACCAAAGCGACGAUCGAUAGCCGAUCUGAGAGGAUGACCGGCCACAUUGGGACUGAGACACGGCCCAAACUCCUACGGGAGGCAGCAGUGGGGAAUAUUGCACAAUGGGGGAAACCCUGAUGCAGCGACGCCGCGUGAGUGAAGAAGUAUUUCGGUAUGUAAAGCUCUAUCAGCAGGGAAGAAAAUGACGGUACCUGAGUAAGAAGCCCCGGCUAACUACGUG